Molecule: ribosomal RNA, 269 nt
Filed under: uncultured eukaryote
Lineage: Eukaryota
Description: partial small subunit ribosomal RNA
Rfam family: Eukaryotic small subunit ribosomal RNA
Source: RNAcentral
AGCUCCAAUAGCUAUAUUAAAGUUGUUGCGGUUAAAAAGCUCGUAGUUGGAUUUCUGUCGAGAAGAACCAGUCCGCAUUUUGUGCGUGUAUUUGGUUUCGUCUUGGCAUCCUUUCAAGGAACGUUUCUGUGAUUCAGUUCAUGGAGCGGCACUUUGAAACUUUUACUUUGAGGAAAUUAGAGUGUUCACGGCAGGCAAUCGCCUUGAAUAUAUUAGCAUGGAAUAAUAAUAUAGGACCUUGGGUCUAUUUUGUUGGUUUCUAGAGCUAA